GAAGAACCUUACCUGCUCUUGACAUGCCAGGAACAUUGGAGAGAUUCGAGGGUGCCGGAAAGGGAAUCAGGACACAGGUGGUGCAUGGCUGUUGUCAGCUCGUGUCGUGAGAUGUUGGGUUAAGUCCCGCAACGAGCGCAACCCUUAUCAUUAGUUGGUAUGCAAGGGCACUCUAAUGAGACUGCCGGUGACAAACCGGAGGAAGGUGGGGAUGACGUCAAGUCCUCAUGGCCCUUAUGAGCAGGGCUUCACACGUCAUACAAUGGUCGGUACAGAGGGUUGCCAACCCGCGAGGGGGAGCCAAUCCCACAAAGCCGAUCGUAGUCCGGAUCGCAGUGUGCAACUCGCCUC
This 351-nucleotide ribosomal RNA is filed under the name uncultured bacterium. RNAcentral's name for it is "bacterial SSU rRNA". It matches the Rfam family "Bacterial small subunit ribosomal RNA", at positions 963 to 1318 of the family's 1533-position model. The record is from RNAcentral.